UAGAUUGAAGCCAGUUAGCUAGGGUGUUUAGUU
RNAcentral lists this transfer RNA (33 nucleotides) under Mammuthus primigenius (woolly mammoth). RNAcentral describes it as "partial tRNA-Asn". Lineage: Eukaryota; Metazoa; Chordata; Mammalia; Proboscidea; Elephantidae. The record is from RNAcentral.